CUACGGGAGGCAGCAGUGGGGAAUAUUGCACAAUGGGCGCAAGCCUGAUGCAGCCAUGCCGCGUGUAUGAAGAAGGCCUUCGGGUUGUAAAGUACUUUCAGCGGGGAGGAAGGGAGUAAAGUUAAUACCUUUGCUCAUUGACGUUACCCGCAGAAGAAGCACCGGCUAACUCCGUGCCAGCAGCCGCGGUAAUACGGAGGGUGCAAGCGUUAAUCGGAAUUACUGGGCGUAAAGCGCACGCAGGCGGUUUGUUAAGUCAGAUGUGAAAUCCCCGGGCUCAACCUGGGAACUGCAUCUAAUACUGGCAAGCUUGAGUCUCGUAGAGGGGGGUAGAAUUCCAGGUGUAGCGGUGAAAUGCGUAGAGAUCUGGAGGAAUACCGGUGGCGAAGGCGGCCCCCUGGACGAAGACUGACGCUCAGGUGCGAAAGCGUGGGGAGCAAACAGGAUUAGAUACCCCCGUAGUC
RNAcentral lists this ribosomal RNA (464 nucleotides) under uncultured bacterium. RNAcentral's name for it is "partial 16S ribosomal RNA". It matches the Rfam family "Bacterial small subunit ribosomal RNA", at positions 339 to 795 of the family's 1533-position model. The record is from RNAcentral.